RNAcentral lists this ribosomal RNA (253 nucleotides) under uncultured bacterium. RNAcentral describes it as "partial 16S ribosomal RNA". It matches the Rfam family "Bacterial small subunit ribosomal RNA", at positions 524 to 776 of the family's 1533-position model. The record is from RNAcentral.
UACGUAGGAUGCUAGCGUUGUCCGGAUUUACUGGGCGUAAAGCGCGCGUAGGCGGCACUGUAAGUAAGGCGUGAAAUAUCCCUGCUCAACGGGGAGGGUGCAUUUUAGACUGCAGAGCUAGAGGACGGUAGAGGGGGGUGGAAUUGCUGGUGUAGCGGUGAAAUGCGUAGAGAUCAGCAGGAACACCCGUGGCGAAGGCGGCCCCCUGGGCCGAACCUGACGCUGAGGCGCGAAGGCUAGGGGAGCGAACGGG